UGAGGAAUAUUGGUCAAUGGACGGAAGUCUGAACCAGCCAAGUAGCGUGCAGGAAGACGGCCCUAUGGGUUGUAAACUGCCUUUGUAUGGGGAUAAAGUCAAUCACGUGUGAUUGUUUGCAGGUACCAUACGAAUAAGGACCGGCUAAUUCCGUGCCAGCAGCCGCGGUAAUACGGAAGGUUCGGGCGUUAUCCGGAUUUAUUGGGUUUAAAGGGAGCGUAGGCCGGAGAUUAAGUGUGUUGUGAAAUGUAGACGCUCAACGUCUGACUUGCAGCGCAUACUGGUUUCCUUGAGUACGCACAACGUUGGCGGAAUUCGUCGUGUAACGGUGAAAUGCUUAGAUAUGACGAAGAACUCCGAUUGCGAAGGCAGCUGACGGGAGCGCAACUGACGCUGAAGCUCGAAGGUGCGGGUAUCGAACAGGAUUAGAUACCCUGGUAGUCCGCACAGUAAACGAUGGAUGCCCGCUGUUGGUACCUAGUAUCAGCGGCUAAGCGAAAGCAUUAAGCAUCCCACCUGGGGAGUACGCCGGCAACGGUG
This 540-nucleotide ribosomal RNA is filed under the name uncultured bacterium. RNAcentral's name for it is "bacterial SSU rRNA". It matches the Rfam family "Bacterial small subunit ribosomal RNA", at positions 355 to 896 of the family's 1533-position model. The record is from RNAcentral.